RNAcentral lists this ribosomal RNA (1493 nucleotides) under uncultured bacterium. RNAcentral describes it as "partial 16S ribosomal RNA". It matches the Rfam family "Bacterial small subunit ribosomal RNA". The record is from RNAcentral.
AUUGAACGCUGGCGGCAGGCUUAACACAUGCAUGUCGAGCGGUAACAGGGGGUGCUUGCUCCCCGCUGACGAGCGGCGGACGGGUGAGUAAUGCAUAGGAAACUGCCCAGUAGUGGGGGAUAGCCCGGGGAAACCCGGAUUAUUAAUACCGCGUACCUUCUUGGGGGGAAAGGGGAUCUUUUCACCAUGUGCUGCUUGUUGUGUGUCUCUGUCUCAUAUUAUCUAGUUGGUGGGGUAAAGGCCUACCAGGGAGACUAUCCGUAUCUGGUCUGAGAGGAUGAUCACCCACAUCGGGACUGACACACGGCCCGAUCUCCUACGGGAGGCAGCAGUGGGGAAUAUUGGACUGUGGGGGCAACCCUGAUCCACCCGUGCCGCGUGUGUGAAGAGCGCUUUCGGGUUGUAAAGCUCUUUCAGUGAAGAAGAAAACUCUGCGACUAAUACUCGUAGGGCUUGACGUUACUCACAGAAGAAGCACCGGCUAUCUCCGUGCCAGCAGCCGCGGUAAUACAGAGGGUGCACGCGUUACUCAGAAUUACUGGGCGUAGAGCGCGCGUAUGUGGUUUGAUAAGCGAGAUGUGAAAGCCCCGGGCUUAACCUGGGAACGGUAUUUCAAACUGUCGCGCUAGAGUAUGGUAGAGGGUAGUGGAAUUUCCUGUGUAGCGGUGAAAUGCGUAUAUAUAGGAAAGAACACCUGUGGCGAAGGCGGCUACCUGCACCAAUACUGACUCUGAGGUGCGAAAGCGUGGGGAGCAAAACGAGAUUAAAUACCCUGUUUCUCCACGCCAUACACUAUGUCUACUACCCGGUGGGUCUUCUUGAACUCUUAGUGGCCGCUCUGACGCUAAAUAUAGACCGCGGGGAGAGUGCGGGCACGAGGAUAAAUCUAAAGAGAAGAGGCGGGGGCGCGCACGAGCGGGAGCACAUGUGGUAUUUUUAGGCGCCGCGAGGAGCACCACACGUCGCCGACACACACAGAGAACUCUACAGAGAGAGAGGGGCGCUUUGGAGAUCUGAGACACAGGUGGCACAUGGCUGUUGUCAUCUUGUGUUGAGAGAUGGUGGGAUAAGUCGUGUAGAGAGCGCAACCCAUAUCCAUAGGUGAGCACAUUUGGGGAGAGAUCUAUAGAGAGACCGGCGGAGACAAAGGGGGAGAAGGGGGGGAAGAUGUCAUGUUCUCGUGCCCUAUGCGCACAGGGACACACACGUGACACAAGGGUGCGCACAGAGGGGCGCAAACCCGAGAGGGGGACACUAUCUCACAAAACGUAUUAUUGUGGGGAUCGCUAGUGCACAUCUAGAGUGGAAGAUAGUGAGGAAUCGGUAGUAAUGAGUAAUGAAGAACGUCGCGAAGAAUAUGUUGCCCGGCGUACUCCACACCGGCCGUCACACCAGAGGAGAGGACACCACCAGAAGUGGUUAGUCUAUCGUUAGGGAGGUCGACCAGCAGCGGUGCAGGUCAGGAGUGAGUGGAAGCAAUGACAAGGUAGCCG